RNAcentral lists this signal recognition particle RNA (296 nucleotides) under Microcebus murinus (gray mouse lemur). RNAcentral describes it as "Metazoan signal recognition particle RNA (ENSMICG00000031140.2)". It matches the Rfam family "Metazoan signal recognition particle RNA". Rfam says of the family: The signal recognition particle (SRP) is a universally conserved ribonucleoprotein. Lineage: Eukaryota; Metazoa; Chordata; Mammalia; Primates; Cheirogaleidae. The record is from RNAcentral.
ACUGGACACAGUGGUGUGCACCUGUAGUCCCAACUACUCAGGAGGCUGAGGCGGGAGGAUCACUUGAGUCCAGGAGUUCUGGGCUGUAGUGCGCUAUGCCAAUCAGGCGUCCGCACUAAGUUCGACAAUAUGGUGACGUCCUGGGCGUGGGGGACCACCAGGUUGCCUAAGGAGAAGUGAACUGGCCCAGGUCAGAAACGGAGCAGGUCAAAACUCCGGUGCGGAUCUGUGGUUGGAUUGCACCUAUGAAUAGCCACUGCACUCCAGCCUGGGCAACAUAGCAAGACCCCGUCUCU